RNAcentral lists this ribosomal RNA (279 nucleotides) under Mitsuokella multacida DSM 20544. RNAcentral describes it as "partial 16S ribosomal RNA". It matches the Rfam family "Bacterial small subunit ribosomal RNA", at positions 497 to 776 of the family's 1533-position model. Lineage: Bacteria; Bacillati; Bacillota; Negativicutes; Selenomonadales; Selenomonadaceae. The record is from RNAcentral.
UAUGGUAAGUGCCAGCCGCCGCGGUAAUACGUAGGUGGCGAGCGUUGUCCGGAAUUAUUGGGCGUAAAGGGAGCGCAGGCGGGAGGUCAAGUCUAUCUUAAAAGUGCGGGGCUCAACCCCGUGAGGGGAUGGAAACUGGUCUUCUUGAGUGCAGGAGAGGAAAGCGGAAUUCCUAGUGUAGCGGUGAAAUGCGUAGAUAUUAGGAGGAACACCAGUGGCGAAGGCGGCUUUCUGGACUGUAACUGACGCUGAGGCUCGAAAGCGUGGGGAGCGAACAGG